AUGGUUUCAGCCGGAUGUUCCCUUGUAAUAUUACAGCUAGCUUAGCAGUGACAGAAAGUCGGAGAAUCCUGUGGAUGAAAGAAAAGGCUGACAUGACAGAUGAUGUCAGAAUCUACAAGCUGCUGGCAUAUUGAACACAGAUUGAGCUCCAGCAGCUCCCAGAUCUCAGGUCUGCUCUGCUUGCUUACUGGGCCAGUCCAGGCGGCACAUGUGCCCCACGGUUCCGUUGAUCUUCGGGAAGGACUUGAGGGCGCUGAAGACAGGAUAGGGCACCAUAACGAGCAGGGAC
Girardinichthys multiradiatus is the source of this 289-nucleotide long non-coding RNA. RefSeq lists it as uncharacterized. NCBI's taxonomy places the organism in Eukaryota, Metazoa, Chordata, Actinopteri, Cyprinodontiformes, Goodeidae. The record is from RefSeq and is a predicted model, not a curated record. The transcript has 3 exons.